This 520-nucleotide ribosomal RNA is filed under the name uncultured Glomus. Its description in RNAcentral is "SSU rRNA". It matches the Rfam family "Eukaryotic small subunit ribosomal RNA", at positions 569 to 1093 of the family's 1831-position model. The record is from RNAcentral. Lineage: Eukaryota; Fungi; Glomeromycota; Glomeromycetes; Glomerales; Glomeraceae.
AGCAGCCGCGGUAAUUCCAGCUCCAAUAGCGUAUAUUAAAGUUGUUGCAGUUAAAAAGCUCGUAGUUGAAUUUCGAGACCGGUUUACUGGUCGUGCUUUUGUACGUACUGGUAUUAUUGGUUUCUCCUUUCUGACGAACUAUAAUGCCAUUAAUUUGGUGUUUUAGGGAAUCAGGACUGUUACUUUGAAAAAUUAGAGUGUUUAAAGCAGGCUCACGCUUGAAUACAUUAGCAUGGAAUAACGGAAUAGGACGUUUGAUUCUAUUUUGUUGGUUUCUAGGAUCGACGUAAUGAUUAAUAGGGAUAGUUGGGGGCAUUAGUAUUCAAUUGUCAGAGGUGAAAUUCUUGGAUUUAUUGAAGACUAACUACUGCGAAAGCAUUUGCCAAGGAUGUUUUCAUUAAUCAAGAACGAAAGUUAGGGGAUCGAAGACGAUCAGAUACCGUCGUAGUCUUAACCAUAAACUAUGCCGACUAGGGAUCGGAUGAUGUUAAUUUUUAAUGACUCAUUCGGCGCCUUACGG